UACGAAGUGUGCAAGCGUUACUCGGAAUUACUGGGCGUAAAGCGUGCGUAGGUGGUUUGUUAAGUCUGUUGUGAAAGCCCCGGCCUCAACCUGGGAAUGGCAAUGGAUACUGGCAAGCUAGAGUGCGGUAGAGGGUAGUGGAAUUCCCGGUGUAGCGGUGAAAUGCGUAGAGAUCGGGAGGAACACCAGUGGCGAAGGCGGCUACCUGGACCAGCACUGACACUGAGGCACGAAAGCGUGGGGAGCAAACAGG
This 253-nucleotide ribosomal RNA is filed under the name uncultured bacterium. Its description in RNAcentral is "partial 16S ribosomal RNA". It matches the Rfam family "Bacterial small subunit ribosomal RNA", at positions 524 to 776 of the family's 1533-position model. The record is from RNAcentral.